RNAcentral lists this ribosomal RNA (447 nucleotides) under uncultured bacterium. Its description in RNAcentral is "partial 16S ribosomal RNA". It matches the Rfam family "Bacterial small subunit ribosomal RNA", at positions 29 to 523 of the family's 1533-position model. The record is from RNAcentral.
AACGAACGCUGGCGGCAGGCCUAACACAUGCAAGUCGAACGCGUCCUUCGGGACGAGUGGCAGACGGGUGAGUAACGCGUGGGAACGUACCCUUUGGUUCGGAACAACAGCGGGAAACUGCUGCUAAUACCGGAUAAGCCCUUCGGGGAAAGAUUUAUCGCCAGAGGAUCGGCCCGCGUUAGAUUAGCUUGUUGGUGAGGUAAUGGCUCACCAAGGCUACGAUCUAUAGCUGGUCUGAGAGGAUGAUCAGCCACACUGGGACUGAGACACGGCCCAGACUCUUACGGGAGGCAGCAGUGGGAAUCUUGGACAAUGGGCGAAAGCCUGAUCCAGCCAUGCCGCGUGAAUGAUGAAGGCCCUAGGGUUGUAAAAUUCUUUCGACGGGGAAGAUAAUGACGGUGCCCGUAGAAGAAGCUCCGGCUAACUUCGUGCCAGCAGCCGCCGUAA